RNAcentral lists this ribosomal RNA (475 nucleotides) under uncultured bacterium. Its description in RNAcentral is "bacterial SSU rRNA". It matches the Rfam family "Bacterial small subunit ribosomal RNA", at positions 28 to 473 of the family's 1533-position model. The record is from RNAcentral.
GACGAACGCUGGCGGCGUGCUUAACACAUGCAAGCCGAACGAAGAGCGAUGGAAGCUUGCUUCUAUCAAUCUUAGUGGCGAACGGGUGAGUAACGCGUAAUCAACCUGCCCUUCAGAGGGGGACAACAGUUGGAAACGACUGCUAAUACCGCAUACGAUCUAAACUCGGCAUCGAGGAUAGAUGAAAGGUGGCCUCUACAUGUAAGCUAUCACUGAAGGAGGGGAUUGCGUCUGAUUAGCUAGUUGGAGGGGUAACGGCCCACCAAGGCGAUGAUCAGUAGCCGGUCUGAGAGGAUGAACGGCCACAUUGGGACUGAGACACGGCCCAGACUCCUACGGGAGGCAGCAGUGGGGAAUCUUCCGCAAUGGACGAAAGUCUGACGGAGCAACGCCGCGUGAGUGAUGACGGCCUUCGGGUUGUAAAGCUCUGUUAAUCGGGACGAAAGGCCUUCUUGCGAAUAGUGAGAAGGAUGAC